GACGAACGCUGGCGGCGUGCUUAACACAUGCAAGUCGAACGGAAAGGCCCUGCUUUUGUGGGGUGCUCGAGUGGCGAACGUGUGAUUAAUACGUGAGUAACCUGCCCUUGACUUUGGGAUAACUUCAGGAAACUGGGGCUAAUACCGGAUAGGAGCUCCUGCUGCAUGGUGGGGGUUGUAAAGUUUCGGCGGUUGGGGAUGGACUCGCGGCUUAUCAGCUUGUUGGUGGGGUAGUGGCUUACCAAGGCUUUGACGGGUAGCCGGCCUGAGAGGGUGACCGGCCAAAUUGGAACUGAGAUACGGCCCAGACUCCUACGGGAGGCAGGAGUGGGGAAUAUUGCACAAUGGGAGGGAGACAAAUGCAACGAAGCCGCGUGGGGGAUGAGGGCCAUAGGGUUGUAAACCGCUUUCGCCUGAGACGGAGCGUAAGUGACGGUAAUGUAUAAAGAAGCACCGGCUAAAUACGUG
RNAcentral lists this ribosomal RNA (468 nucleotides) under uncultured bacterium. RNAcentral's name for it is "partial 16S ribosomal RNA". It matches the Rfam family "Bacterial small subunit ribosomal RNA", at positions 28 to 507 of the family's 1533-position model. The record is from RNAcentral.